ACAGCCCGGGGCGCCGGGGGCCUCGGCCGGGAGAGCUGUGCUGAGGGGUGAACACAACCAUCGGGGCUCUUUUACUCACCCCGUACACAACAGGCUAAAACCUGUGCAGCUCCCGUGUCCGGGCAAGCCUUGCUUCAGGCGUUUCUGGCUACUGAUAAACCAAGAGUGAGGGGAGGGAAAUAUAUAAGGAGCUUCUGAUACGCUGAAAUCCUCAUUUGGAAUCAAAUGUGUAACGACAAGGGAGAGAGCUGAGCUUUGUCUCCAUUUUACAUAAUUCUGCAGAAUUUAUCUGUUGGCUUCUAGGUUGCUGCAGUAAAGGCAAGAGAUUCUCCCAAGGGGUAUUUGAAAUGAAGAAGACAUCUGGAAGUUGAAGAUUCAUCCGCCAGUUUUCCAGUACGGACAGAGGCUGCAGCUCUGUGACCCUCUUUGCCAGAUUUGUGCACUGCAGGAUCAGUUGACUUUACACAAAAAGCCAGCAGGCUUACAGCUGCACCAGGCUGCCUCUUUUGAUGCAUUUAGGUAAUUACAGUAUGAUCCUUUUAAUAGCAUUUUCCUGACUUGUCACCUGAAGUCCCAUGCUGCCCUGAGUCCCAGCCCCUACCCCUUCCCUUUGGGGCCCAUCUUUGUGACACCCAGGGGCUGUUAUUAAUGACCUCUAUGGGAUGAAUUUCUUUUUUUCGUGCUUAGUCACUGACAUCUGUUUCCCUGGCACAAUACAGCACGUGAUGGUGCUGACAUCAUAGCUUUAUAUGACUGCCCCCACAGUCACUCCUCAAACUGCAACAGCAUGCAGAGUUCCAAAAAUGGGAAAGUUAUUUCUGCUGCAUGCAGUGAUGAGAAAGGCUACCAUGUAGCUAAAGGUUUGGUAAGGGCACUGUCAGCAUCACUCACAUCUUUCUUGGGUUUCAAAGAUGCACAUUUCUGUCCUGGGCAGAGGCAGUGUCUGUGAGAAAAGCCAGGAUGAUGCACAGAUGGGAAAAUCUGCAAUACAGGGAGAACUUUGAGCAAGGAAAGACAAUGCUGGUGAUUAUUCCUGUGGAUCAUAACCUUUGCCUGCUGAGGAAGAUAAAUGUUAGAUGGCACAUCUGAAUGUAAGAGUGCUAAUUUCAUAGAGAGUUACAGUGCUUUAACAGGUGCCAUGGGAACAGCCUGUUCUGUUCUGUCAACACCAGGACUCUCCUGUCUGCAGAGUGAAUGUGUACACAAAGCUAAACCAGCAAAAGGUAGUGCUGGAAAAGGCAGUAAGCAGACUUCUAAAAUUUUACCUCCAUGAAAACCAGCUUGUAGUGAGAGAAAAAUAAAACUGAAAAUAACUUCAGUUUCAACAAAACUGAAUAGAGAAGGGAGGAAGGGGCAGGAGUGCCCCUUUAAGGAAGAGCUGCCCAAUUUAGCAGUGCAAAGCUGCAGUUUAAAAAGCCUUGUCCUUGUAACUGCCAAGCAGAAUUCUCCCUGCAUCAGAACACUGGAUGAAAAGCAUCAAAACUCAGGAGAAGAUUCAGAAGACAACAAUCCCUCUUUAGGACAUUCCUGCGUUACCUAAGUCUGUUGCCAGCAAAAAGGUGACAUACUCUUCUACUCUCAUGGAUUUCUCACGUGAGGGUCAUGAGCAAGCACCUCUGUUUCCUACCCAGUUUCUCCAAGUUUUCUGUAAACAGGCAGUGCUGUUCCUCCCUCUGCCUUGAGGUUGUCUGAAGACCACGUAGGCCUUGUUAAUAUUAUUGCUGCUGGCUAGCCCAGUAGUGUCCAUGUGCCUACAUUCCUGCAGUUCUGGUUGUUGAAAGCCACUCAAACAGGCUAAAAUUCUUGUAGUUUAUUAAUCAAGGGAAUUAAGUAGAUAUAGUUACUAUUUGGAAGUGAGAAAGUCAUGAGGCAGCAGAAGAUUAAAUGAAAGUUGAAACAAAUUCUCAGCCAGAUACGAUUAAUGUCUGCUUGUGGAAAACUGUUGAUAAGGAAAAACUCUUUGCUGUCUCUUCCAAAUUUAAAAAAUUAGUAAUUAAAAAAGUAAUCAAAUGAAACUAAUGAAGUUCAGGUCAAAAUGUGCAAAAAGAUGUAUUUCUUCACCAACUGUUAGUAACCUGUGGCAUAACUUGCUGCAGGAUGCUCUGGAUACAGGAAGUUUAUAUGGCCUCACCCUACAGGCAGUUUUAAACCAGGGAGGAAGAGGAAACAGGGAAAAAAGGAACAAGAGAGAAAAAAAGAGACUCCAGUUCAGAGACUGCCUAGCAUUGCUGAAGACCUUCUACAAAACCUGCUGUCCCACAGAUCCACAGUGAAGCUGCUGUAUAAGCCAUGUAGCCAGAGACUCAGCACUUUGCCCAGUUCUGCCAGACUUCUGGAAUGAAUGCUACUGGAAGUCAGAGAACCAAGUGUACCAAGUGCUCUGGAAAGGAGAUAUGAUCAAAUGAAGUGCAAUUGAAAAAAUCCAGAAAAUUUGCAAAUGCCACGACUACAACCAAAUGUACUGAGAUGAAAAGAGAUGCAGUGGAAAGGACCAAAAGUUGCUUAAAUUGUUCCCACUGAAAUCCCAAAAGCAGGCCAGAAAGGUAAAUAAAGAGACAGGAGAAGAAAUGGAAGAAAUUAAAUGCUUAAAAAAAAAAAGGAGAAAAAUCUGAAAUUAAGAAAAACAGUAAAAGUGAAUGGGAUGACCUGAAGUGCAGGGAAAGGCACCAAAGCUUGCCCAACUGAUCCUCAUUAAAAUGACAAGAUUUCAUCCCUUUCAGAAAGCAACUGGAAUAUAUAUACACAUAAAUAUGACAUUAUGCUUCCUUCAACCUUCUGAUGGAUGUUGCUGGAAAGCAAACUGUAUUGUCAGUACCUGUUUAACCAUCCAGGAAUUAUGCAUAACUUGCAUUGUAUUUGUAUGUCACUUUAGUUACUUGGAAAAGAUGUGUAUAUAUAUAAGCACUAUAACUCUUUGCAUGUUCUCA
Non-coding RNA from Zonotrichia albicollis (white-throated sparrow), 2927 nucleotides. NCBI's taxonomy places the organism in Eukaryota, Metazoa, Chordata, Aves, Passeriformes, Passerellidae. The record is from RefSeq and is a predicted model, not a curated record.